Molecule: ribosomal RNA, 441 nt
Filed under: uncultured bacterium
Lineage: Bacteria
Description: partial 16S ribosomal RNA
Rfam family: Bacterial small subunit ribosomal RNA
Source: RNAcentral
CCUACGGGGGACUGCAGUAGGGAAUUUUGCGCAAUGGGCGAAAGCCUGACGCAGCAACGCCGCGUGAUUGAUUAAGCCCUUCGGGGUGUAAAGAUCUGUCAGUGGGGACGAAACUUGACGGUACCCACAGAGGAAGCACCGGCUAACUCCGUGCCAGCAGCCGCGGUAAUACGGAGGGUGCAAGCGUUGUCCGGAAUCAUUGGGCGUAAAGAGUUCGUAGGUGGCAUAUUAAGUCUGGUGUUAAAUGCAGAAGCUCAACUUCUGUUCGGCACUGGAUACUGGUAAGCUUGAAUGCGGUAGAGGUAAAGGGAAUUCCUGGUGUAGCGGUGAAAUGCGUAGAUAUUAGGAGGAACACCAGUGGCGAAGGCGGCUUACUGGACUGUAACUGACGUUGAGGCUCGAAAGCGUGGGGAGCAAACAGGAUUAGAUACCCGUGUAGUC